This 326-nucleotide ribosomal RNA is filed under the name Notocrinus virilis. RNAcentral describes it as "partial 16S ribosomal RNA". It matches the Rfam family "Bacterial large subunit ribosomal RNA", at positions 2204 to 2608 of the family's 2925-position model. The record is from RNAcentral. Lineage: Eukaryota; Metazoa; Echinodermata; Crinoidea; Comatulida; Notocrinidae.
UUAAGAAAAUUUUUAUAGAAAAUACUUAUAGAUAAAAUCUUUACUAAAAAUCAAAUAAAAACAUCUUUGGUUGGGGCAACCACGAAGAAAAAAAAACCUUCGUAAAUAAAAAUAAUUUACAAAUUUAAAAAUUUUACUAUAAAUUAAAAAGAUCCAGAAAAUACUGAACAAAGAAAAAAGUUACCGCAGGGAUAACAGCGUUAUUCUCUUUAAGAGUUCAUAUUGACAAGAGAGUUUGCGACCUCGAUGUUGGACCGGGGCACCCAAGGGGUGCAGCAGCCCCUAAAGGUAGGUCUGUUCGACCUUUAAAGCCCUACGUGAUCUGA